GUCCACGCCGUAAACGAUGGAUACUAGCUGUUCGGAGCAAUCUGAGUGGCUAAGCGAAAGUGAUAAGUAUCCCACCUGGGGAGUACGUUCGCAAGAAUGAAACUCAAAGGAAUUGACGGGGGCCCGCACAAGCGGUGGAGCAUGUGGUUUAAUUCGAUGAUACGCGAGGAACCUUACCAAGGCUUAAAAUGGAAAAACGACAGGUUUGGAAACAGACUUUUCUUCGGACGUUUUUCAAGGUGCUGCAUGGUUGUCGU
RNAcentral lists this ribosomal RNA (257 nucleotides) under uncultured bacterium. RNAcentral's name for it is "partial 16S ribosomal RNA". It matches the Rfam family "Bacterial small subunit ribosomal RNA", at positions 793 to 1055 of the family's 1533-position model. The record is from RNAcentral.